Molecule: ribosomal RNA, 537 nt
Filed under: Penicillium sp.
Lineage: Eukaryota; Fungi; Ascomycota; Eurotiomycetes; Eurotiales; Aspergillaceae
Description: eukaryotic LSU rRNA
Rfam family: 5.8S ribosomal RNA (bases 179-332)
Source: RNAcentral
CAUUACUGAGUGAGGGCCCUCUGGGUCCAACCUCCCACCCGUGUUUAUUGUACCUUGUUGCUUCGGUGCGCCCGCCUCACGGCCGCCGGGGGGCUUCUGCCCCCGGGUCCGCGCGCACCGGAGACACCAUUGAACUCUGUCUGAAGAUUGCAGUCUGAGCAUAAACUAAAUAAGUUAAAACUUUCAACAACGGAUCUCUUGGUUCCGGCAUCGAUGAAGAACGCAGCGAAAUGCGAUAACUAAUGUGAAUUGCAGAAUUCAGUGAAUCAUCGAGUCUUUGAACGCACAUUGCGCCCCCUGGUAUUCCGGGGGGCAUGCCUGUCCGAGCGUCAUUGCUGCCCUCAAGCACGGCUUGUGUGUUGGGCUCCGUCCCCCCGGGGACGGGUCCGAAAGGCAGCGGCGGCACCGAGUCCGGUCCUCGAGCGUAUGGGGCUUUGUCACCCGCUCUGUAGGCCCGGCCGGCGCCAGCCGACAACCAAUCAUCCUUUUUCAGGUUGACCUCGGAUCAGGUAGGGAUACCCGCUGAACUUAAGCAUA